RNAcentral lists this ribosomal RNA (504 nucleotides) under Leiochone japonica. RNAcentral describes it as "partial 16S ribosomal RNA". It matches the Rfam family "Bacterial large subunit ribosomal RNA", at positions 1817 to 2597 of the family's 2925-position model. The record is from RNAcentral. Lineage: Eukaryota; Metazoa; Annelida; Polychaeta; Maldanidae.
AGCCUUUUGUGACAAUAUAAAAGGUGAAACCUGCCCAAUGACUCACGAGUUUAAUGGCCGCGGUACCCUGACCGUGCUAAGGUAGCAUACAAUAUGCCCUUUAAUUGGGGGCUAGAAUGAAAGGAUAAACGAGAAUAAAGCUGUCUCUAUAAUAUAUAAUAAAAAUUUACCUUUAGGUGAAAAGGCCUAAUUUUUAUUAAAAGACAAAAAGACCCCGUAGAGCUUAAUUAUAAAAUAUAAUGAAAAAAUAAACUAUAUUCUUCUUUAUAAACCUAUUAAUUUAACUGGGGCGGUUAAGGAGCAAAUACCCUCCUUUUAUAUAUAAGGUAACCAACCAUCAAUUGAUCCUUUAUAGAUUAAAGAAAAAAGCUACCUCGGGGAUAACAGGCUAAUAUCUUUUAAGAGUACAUAUCGAAAAAGAAGAUUGGCACCUCGAUGUUGGCUUAGAGGAACCUAAAAGUAGCAGAAGCCUUAAAGGCGGGUUUGUUCAACCCUUAAACCUCU